GACAACUGAAGUGGAUCCAAUUCUUCAACUAGAACUUUUCUCAUAUUUGAAUCUUCUUUACUUUUAUUAUUUGCUUUACUUUAUUGCUUUCAACAUUAAUUUAAUUCAUCGAUCUCAAAACUCUCCUUUUAUUUUACUUUCAGUUUAUUUACUUGGUCUUGAUAAGGGAAAAUAGGUAAGUAUCGACUCCCUGUGGAUUCGAUCCUUUUGCCACUAUCUGCAGUUAUAAAAUUAUUGAUAACCAAAAAUGUUAUUUUUUACCGGUUUCGACAACCGCACAGUCAAAAUUGGCGCCGUUGCCGGGGAGUUGAUUUAACUAAUUUAUUUUUCUUUCAUGACCAAGACUGGACGCAAGAAAACUCUGCAUUAUGAUAUAGAAAUUGAGUGUAAGGACCCGAAAAUCGAACCGCUACCGGCGCUAGGAUUCAAAUCGACUUAAGGUCGCCGGAACUCGUAGCAAGCCUAACAUACAUCCUGUACAUCUGAUAUAAUCCCAUACAUGAUCAUAUAUUUUCAUAAAAACUUUAAAUUUUUCAUAUACUAAGCUUGACCUGUGCAUGCACCAUAACUCUAUACAUACAAACCUCAUACUAGAGCCCUCAUCAAAUGCUCUAGUUGGGUCAACAUUACAUACAUCAAGCUUGGUUCAAACAUAUAUCAUCAACAACAUUUCAUAAGGAUCAUGUACCAAAGGGAUUAACCAUACAUUAGGACCAAGCACAAUGCUAAUCCUCAUUACAUUACUUUACAUUACAUCAUUUUACAUAUCAUGUCCACUACUAGACUAUUACAUAACAUAGCUAUAGCUAUUACCCUUGCUGACUCCCUGAGCUAUCUCUGACCCUGCAAACCUGAGGGUUAGGGGAAAGGGGGUGAGCUACUAAAGCCCAGUGAGCAGAAUAGUAAAAACAGUUAAUAAACAUAUGCUUUCAUGAUAUGCAUCACAUCACAAACAAUUCACAUCACGGAUGGACUUGUCACCAGAAACCCUCUACAUAUCCAUUGCCCUGCCCACAACGGGGCUCCUCAGGACUUUUGCUUAACAUAACAUAGCAUGUCCAACUGUGCCAAGGGCGUAGUGCAGGCCACACCUGGUCUUCUCUUACAUAUAACAUAUCAUAUCAUAUCAUGUCCAACUGUGCCAGGGGCGUAGUGCAGGCCACACCCGGUCUUCUCUUACAUAUUGCCAGGGGCGUAGUUCAGGCCACAUCUGGUCUUUCCAUCUCAUAUCAUAUCAUAUCAUGUCAUAUCGAGGGUUAAUGGAUCAUCCAAUAUCCAUCCACAUCAACAUCAUACCAUGCAAUGCGUUAUAUUCGUGAAUUCUAAUGCAAUAGAACCUAUUACAUACAUGGCAUUCAUGAUGCAUGAGCAUGCUUAAAAGUUUAAUUGCUUUGAAAUAAAAAGAGUUGUGUUCUACUCACCUCUGGCUGAUACUCAACUGACUCUGGAGCAGCUAACACUGCUGGCCUCCUCGGUUCCUCGGGUCCGAUCCUACACAGGUGGACUCAAAUGAGGGACCAAACAUACUCUAACAUGACUCUAAACAACUCUCCAAAAACCCCCCCUAAAACACCAUAAAUAUGCAUGGAAAAACAGGCAAAGGAAGGCUGGGCAAGAGACUUUCGGCGGCCGAAGGUCCCUCCAGAGCCGAAAGUCAGGCACUUUCGGGGGCAGGGUUCGACUGCCGAAAGACCUUCCAGAGCCGAAAGUCACAACCUUCGAGGGCAGGUUCGGCGGCCGAAACUCCCCUCCAAAGCCGAAAGUCCCAACUUUCGGAGGCGAGUUUAGGCGGCCAAAACUGCCUCCUCUAGCAGGUUCGGCGGCCGAACCUUGUUUCGUUGGCCGAACCUAGAUCCUUCUGGGUGGCAGAACCCGAUUCUGCCAUCCCACAUCCAGCCAUCCAAACUUCCCAGCACACAUUCAUCUAUUCUAAAACAUGCAUAAACACUUAUUCAAGCAUAUAGGGGCAUAAAACUAGCCUAUACCCCAACAAUAUCACAUUUAACAUACAUUCAUCAAUAAACUAACAUAAAUCCUAACAUUUUACAUCUACUCUAAACAUGCAUUAUAUCCUUAACCCCUUUUAAAACUUACUUAAAAUAUGAAAGAAUGUAUGGAUCUACACUUACCUCUUAAAGACCAAGGGUAGAUGCGACCAAAACUUGGAGAUGAGGAGGAAACGAGUUUCGAAGGUCUCCAAGCUCCAAAACUUUGAUCUAAGCUUAAAAUCUUCAAAACAAGGUAAAAACUUAUAAAAAACUUGAAGGAUUUGAGGAGAGAACACAAGAUCAUCAAGGGGGUGGCAGAGACUCACUUUGCCCAGCAAUGGAGAGAAAACUCGCCCAUUUUCGGACAGGGGGGCCUUUUAUAGGUGGCUGGCCAGACCACCUUUGGGGGCCAAAAGUGUCUCCACAACUCUACCAUGUUCGGUGGCCGAACCUGGGUUUCUCCUCCAAGACAUUUUCUUUCAAAACUCAAUUUUUUCUUCAUUAAAACCUUAAAAACAUGUAAAAAUAAUUUAGAAAACCUUUGUUUUCACCCUUUUAAGGGAUUUUGACCUCAGAAUUUUGAAUUUGAACGGAGAUUCCGCUGGAAAGUUGGAAUUCCGAUGCCGGAGCUUAGCCGGGUAUUACAUUGAGCGUACAAACAGGCGACUUGGGAAGCAAGUCACCACACUUUGAAUCAAGCCACCACCGAAUCUGCCCCCAAGGAACCAGCAAUCGCAGACUCAGUGUGCAACUCUUCUGAACUUGACCAAACAGCCACGGAGAUGGCUGAAAUCAAUAGACAACCUGCUGCACAUGUUGAACUUGUUGUUCAUGAUGAAUUUAUACUAGAAAAUCCAGCCAUGAGGGGCACCAAUACCAAGAGAAAGAACACUGGGAGAGUUGGCAGUCCCUUUAGGCGAUCAAGCACCUCUCUGCAUCACCUAUCCGCCAUCUUUUUUAAUGUUCAGGCACUGUCGUUUAUUUUGCGCCCCAUUGUUUCUUUUUUAAUGUUCUUUGACUUUAAACUAAUUAAACUAAACAAUUAAUAUUUUAUUUUAAUAGAAUAUUUGAAUAAAUGAUUGCUAAUGAAUAACAAUUUUGCUUAUAAUGUAUGAGUAUAAUAUUUUGGGGUAAGUAAGGCGUUGUCGUUUAUUUUGCGCCCCAUCGUUUCUUUUUUAAUGUUCUUGAUUUUAAACCAAUUAAACAGGUUUUAUUUUAAUUGAAUAUUUGAAUAAAAAAUUAGUAAUAAUUAUUAUAUUUUGUUUAAAAUGUAUAAGUAUAAUAUUUUGGGGUAAGAAUGGCACGGUUGUUUAUUUUGCGACCAUCAUUUCCUUUUAAAUGUUCAGGCACUGCCGUUUAUUUUGUGCCCCAUCGUUUCUUUUUUAAUAUUCUUCGACUUUAAACUAAUAUUUUUUUCCUUUUGCUUUCUUUUUAUUUCUUUUUGCAUCUUUUUGCCCCAUAAACACACACCAAAAUUUUUCACACAUUUUUUCACUUUUUGCACACACACACAGAAUUUUGACUUAGCUUUUGCUCUACUCAGCAUAGAUAACAAGGUUAAACGAGCUUCCUAUCUCAUGACCCCAUUGAUUUUCCACCCCUUUAAGCCUAAAUUGAAUCAAUUAUAGUGUGCUACCUUCACUUUGGAAAGUUCUUUUCUUGAAUUGAAUCCCUAAGUUUGCUUUGGUCAAGGAAAAUAAAAAUAAAUACAUGCAAAUAAAAAGUUAGGUGUAACUUCCUAAUAAUUGAUUUGCCCAAACUGUCAUAAAAAGAAAAAGAAAAAGAAAAGACCAGCACAAAUGCACAAAUAAAACCUGUUCCAAUGGUCAAAUAAGCUAUGAAAAGAGCUAGUAGCCACUUGAACAAGUGACUAACUGAGUAACCGGGGGUGGGUAUCACCAAUAUGCACCUUCGCGUAAAAAGGUUAGUGACUUAUUCAGGCAAGAAUAAAUAAGUGUUGCUGAAUAAAAAAGUAUGAUAAAAAGGGCAAGUCACUCUUAGGAGUUGCAUUGAGCUUGAAACAAGAACAAGCAUGAUUGAAUCAAAAACCUUUCUCUUGGCCAUGGUAAGUGAGGGGAAACAAGGAAAAGAAGAAACAACCUUGGUGCAUGUACUCUAUACUAUGAUACUUCAAUUUAGGAGUCUAGGGGGGGCUGAUUAAGUGUCAAAGGAAAAAGGAACUUGAUUGACUAAGUUGUUUGUUGCUUGAGGACAAGCAAAAAGCUAGGUGUGGGGGUAUUUGAUCAAGCAUAAUUUAGCCACAUUUUUAUUAUCUUUAUUAUUGUUUAUUUACACAUUAUUUAGCUUAAUUUAUGGUUUUUACCUUAUUUUUAUAGAAAAGGAAGAAAUUGAAAAAAUGGAGAAAAAGUGCAGAAAAUGACAGAAAAGUGAUUGGGUUAGUGAUUUGCCCAAAUCACUCGUAGAAACUGCCCAAAUCAAGCUAAAGCAGAAACCUGAACUACAUCACAGGAGACUGAUUGGGUCAAUGACUUUGCCAAAUCACUCGCAGAAACAGAAGCCCGGAGCCAACGCGCAGAAAAGUGAUUGGGCUAGUAAUUUGCCCAAAUCACUCGCAGAAACUGCCCAAAUCACUCACAGAGACAGAAAAUUGAAACUGGACAGACUUGCAGAAAGCGAUCGGGGCAGAUAGACCAAGCGAUCUGCCCAAAUCACUGCCCCAAUCACAUUGACAGCAGAAUUGACAGCAGAAGCGGGAAAAGAGCAGAAAAUUCAAAUUCAAAGAAAAGAAGUCCAAGUCCACUUCAAACACCACAAGAUCAGUCCCAAGAGCCACGCCCUUCACUUAGAGAGUUCCAUUCUCAAUCAAAUACAAAGUCCAAAGAGGAAUCAAAGACUACAAAGAAGACCAAAUCAAAUUGAGAUUUCAAAACCCUAAUCAAAUUGGAAUUGGGAUUCUCCAGCUAUAUAAGGGCAGCAUCCAAACCAGAAUAGCAUCUCUCAUCUUCAGCAAUUCUGCAGAAAACACAACAGCUUGUCCUUUUCUUUCUUUUCUUCUUUUCUCUUGUGAUUUUGUCCACCAUGAGUGGCUAAUUUCAUUCUUUUCUAGUUGAAAUGUUGGAAAUUCAGAUUUGUGAUGAAUUGAGAGAUUUAAAACUCCAUUGUUAAACUCUUAUUUGCUUUCAAUAUUUAUGCAACUAGAUCUUUU
RNAcentral lists this long non-coding RNA (5154 nucleotides) under Manihot esculenta (cassava). RNAcentral's name for it is "long non-coding RNA (MESC_LNC012166)". Lineage: Eukaryota; Viridiplantae; Streptophyta; Magnoliopsida; Malpighiales; Euphorbiaceae. The record is from RNAcentral.